Molecule: ribosomal RNA, 419 nt
Filed under: uncultured bacterium
Lineage: Bacteria
Description: bacterial SSU rRNA
Rfam family: Bacterial small subunit ribosomal RNA
Source: RNAcentral
GGAAUUUUGGACAAUGGGGGAAACCCUGAUCCAGCGACGCCGCGUGGAGGACGAAGGUCUUCGGAUUGUAAACUCCUUUUGUUUGGGACUAAGAAACCUGUAGAAAUACGGGGAGUGAAUGUACCAGAUGAAUAAGCCACGGCUAACUUCGUGCCAGCAGCCGCGGUAAUACGAAGGUGGCAAGCGUUACUCGGAAUUACUAGGCGUAAAGGGCAGGUAGGUGGUUCGGUAAGUCUGUUGUGGAAGCUCCCGGCUUAACUGGGAGAGGCCAACGGAAACUACCGGACUUGAGUGUAGGAGAGGGUACUGGAAUUCCCGGUGUAGCGGUGAAAUGCGCAGAGAUCGGGAGGAACACCAAUGGCGAAAGCAGGUACCUGGACUAUUACUGACACUAAGCUGCGAAAGCUAGGGGAGCAAAC